RNAcentral lists this unclassified non-coding RNA (244 nucleotides) under fungal sp. Its description in RNAcentral is "partial internal transcribed spacer region". The stretch from base 1 to 46 matches the Rfam family "Eukaryotic small subunit ribosomal RNA", at positions 1786 to 1831 of the family's 1831-position model. The record is from RNAcentral. Lineage: Eukaryota; Fungi.
AAGUCGUAACAAGGUUUCCGUAGGUGAACCUGCGGAAGGAUCAUUAAAAGAGUACGGGGCUCGCCCCCGACGCUCCAACCCCAUGAGUAUCCUCCUUCGUUGCUUCGGCGGGUCGACGUCCGUCGUCGCCGGCGAGUUUCGCCGGAAAGCACCCGCCGAAGGACCCUUCAAAACCUGCUUAUCCGUGUCGUCUGAAGCUAUCGUUUAAAAGUCAAAACUUUCAACAACGGAUCUCUUGGUUCUG